RNAcentral lists this long non-coding RNA (2382 nucleotides) under Zea mays. Its description in RNAcentral is "long non-coding RNA (ZMAY_LNC000419)". The record is from RNAcentral. Lineage: Eukaryota; Viridiplantae; Streptophyta; Magnoliopsida; Poales; Poaceae.
UCGACAUAUAUUAAGCUUUUGAUGCCUAUGAACACAACCCUAGAGAGGGCAAAGAGAUUACAGUCGUGAGAGGACGAGGGAGAGACAUCCAUGGCAAGCAAGAGCUCGGGUGGAUUCAGUAGUUUUCAGCCUACAAGCCCACAGGCGAGCAUCUGCGAUACACGCACGGAGGGUUACAGUUAGGGGGGUCCUGCCUGAAGAUAUAGUUGUUACACUUCUUCCACAAGUGUCACUAACAGAGCACCACGAAGGUGGGGAAGUCACUUGAUAGAAGGUCGAGGAAGGCGGUGCAGGUUGAAGCAGCUCAAGUCCUCGCUGAUCUUGUAACACCCCGGGGUCCACAAACACCCUAGAAUGGUACUAAAUAACACUUCUGACAUCUAUAUAUAAAAUUUCGGCAGCAUCCCCUUUGCAAUUUGCAUAAAUGAGGGGGCAACAGUGUAUAAACUUAUAUCAUGACAAAAACAUACUAAGUAUUAUUAAUCGGCUAGCAAAGAGAAGUUAAACAUACGACAUGAUCUGAAUUAACUAGUGCGCACGACUAGUUAAAAAACAAACUUCCUUUGACAAUAAGUUCUAAUUAAAUCAUGGCUGCGCCUGGGCAGCGUUAUUGUGAGAGUGAAAGUGGACGUGCUGCUACUCCCCUCAUUCCCAGCAUGUAUAAAGUACCUGCAUUGAGUAAUGCAAGAGUGAGAUGACACAUCUCAGCAAGUAAAAUAAUAUCAAACUGUUUAACCACAUAAGAACAUUGUUUUACCACCACUUGAUUCCACAACCUUCUUAUUACGAAGGUGCAGCACGUAUACAACGUACAACACACCUAGUCACCACACCUCGCAGGUGGAAACCACAAUAGUAACAUAGUAAUGUCACACUUCAUAUAUGCCUCAUGAGUGCAAAUGUCUGCAAAUGCAAGAAUGACUUCUGCCUUCAUAUCUCUAAGGAUAUGAAGCCGCAUCGUACCCCUCCUCGGGCAACGUACAAUGCUAAAAAUGUACCGGUACAGUCGGACCAUAAGAUCGCGACAUAACUUCAAAAUGCAAGAUGGAUGAUGCGAUGUGCAUGUCAUGCCUACAACACUUCAUAUAACGUGAUUCAAAAAGAUACUUCAACUUCAUCCAAGAUGGGAAUCAACCACGUAUAUCAUUACCAAAUUAUGAUCAUCCACAAUAUUAGACAAUUGAGAAUUAAUACUUUCAAACAAAUAAACUUCAUCAUAGAAUUCAAUGAUUAACAUAAUUAUAACUUAUGCAUACUCAAUGACAGGGAUUAGGAUGCAAACCAAACGGUAGCAACCACCACUGUAUUUACUUGCCUUUACCGGGAGUUCGGGCAAAUCCCUAAGUACGAUCCGGAAGUCUACCACCUGUUUUUGACACACAACUUAGUGCACCAAUUUCACAUAAUCAGGCUCAUAAACGACGCCGCACCUACGCACAAACUCAAACCCCGCCGCGGGUUACAUCUCUCCCCACUCCCACCAAACUGCAGCGACGCUGCUUAAUAAUUUCAUAACUUUAAAAUUAUGACAUCAGUGGUAACAAACAAAAACUCCAGAGGCAUCUACAUAAAAUUCCCCACAAGUUUUGUAUAUAAUUUAUAAUUAAAUUCCAACAUUUAAUUAGCCCAAAAUAGUCCACAAGAUGAACCCUGUAAUCUGUUUUUUUGUCUUUUGGCAGCGACAUACCCGGAUUCAAACAGCGAUAUCUUUUAAAAUAUAAUUCCAAAUCAAGCGCAUAAGUACUCAUUGGAAAGAUAAGACAAAGCCCUACAUGAUUAUCAUACUGGUUAACACUAAUUACCCACGAAAAAUUCCCAGAAACUGCUAAUACUACUGCUGUUCACCCACCUGAAAAAUCUGUUUUUUGGACAGCAACAUAACCGGAUUUAAACAAUGAUAUCUCCUAAAUUAUAACUCCGAAUCGAGCGCAUAAGUACUCGUUGGAAAGGUAUGACAAAGCUCUACAUGAUUCUCCCACUGAUCCCCACUAAUUGCCCACGAAAAAUUCCCAGAAAUCCCUAGAACUACUGCUGUUCGUCCACCCACUAAAUUUCUGGACAACACCUCUACCAAAUCGCAUAGGUAAACAUAUAACCAAUUGGAUUGCAGCACAAAUACAACAAAAUGAUCACGAAAAUCACCUUGGGUUCCUCCCUUCCUCCUUCUUUUCUUCCUUCUUCCUCCCUCCAAACUCCCAUGGAAGACUCGCACCCACACGACGGACACCAAGCGGGAAGGCUCCACCUUGGAGAGGAAGAGGUGGGGGGCUAGGGUUGAGGGGUGGAGCUGCAAUCACUUGGGGAAGAAGGAGAGGAAUUGGGGCGGCUGCAAGAGUGGAAGAGAGGAAGAGAGAGGGGGGAGGGGCGGCCAAAGGGAUGGGG